UACGUAGGGGGCUAGCGUUGUCCGGAAUCAUUGGGCGUAAAGAGCGUGUAGGCGGUCCGGUAAGUCCGCUGUGAAAGUCGGGGGCUCAACCCUCGAAUGCCGGUGGAUACUGUCGGGCUAGAGUGCGGAAGAGGAGAAUGGAAUUCCCGGUGUAGCGGUGAAAUGCGCAGAUAUCGGGAAGAACACCCGUGGCGAAGGCGGUUCUCUGGGACGGUACUGACGCUGAGACGCGAAAGCGUGGGGAGCGAACAGG
RNAcentral lists this ribosomal RNA (253 nucleotides) under uncultured bacterium. RNAcentral describes it as "partial 16S ribosomal RNA". It matches the Rfam family "Bacterial small subunit ribosomal RNA", at positions 524 to 776 of the family's 1533-position model. The record is from RNAcentral.